RNAcentral lists this ribosomal RNA (465 nucleotides) under Vreelandella stevensii. Its description in RNAcentral is "partial 16S ribosomal RNA". It matches the Rfam family "Bacterial small subunit ribosomal RNA", at positions 338 to 795 of the family's 1533-position model. Lineage: Bacteria; Pseudomonadati; Pseudomonadota; Gammaproteobacteria; Oceanospirillales; Halomonadaceae. The record is from RNAcentral.
CCUACGGGGGGCUGCAGUGGGGAAUAUUGGACAAUGGGGGCAACCCUGAUCCAGCCAUGCCGCGUGUGUGAAGAAGGCCCUCGGGUUGUAAAGCACUUUCAGUGAGGAAGAACGCCUGGUGGUUAAUACCCAUCAGGAAAGACAUCACUCACAGAAGAAGCACCGGCUAACUCCGUGCCGGCAGCCGCGGUAAUACGGAGGGUGCGAGCGUUAAUCGGAAUUACUGGGCGUAAAGCGCGCGUAGGUGGCUUGAUAAGCCGGUUGUGAAAGCCCCGGGCUCAACCUGGGAACGGCAUCCGGAACUGUCAAGCUAGAGUGCAGGAGAGGAAGGUAGAAUUCCCGGUGUAGCGGUGAAAUGCGUAGAGAUCGGGAGGAAUACCAGUGGCGAAGGCGGCCUUCUGGACUGACACUGACACUGAGGUGUGAAAGCGUGGGUAGCAAACAGGAUUAGAUACCCCUGUAGUC